RNAcentral lists this ribosomal RNA (439 nucleotides) under uncultured bacterium. RNAcentral describes it as "bacterial SSU rRNA". It matches the Rfam family "Bacterial small subunit ribosomal RNA", at positions 8 to 489 of the family's 1533-position model. The record is from RNAcentral.
AGAGUUUGAUCCUGGCUCAGAGCGAACGCUGGCGGCAGGCCUAACACAUGCAAGUCGAACGAACUCUUCGGAGUUAGCGGCGGACGGGUGAGUAACACGUGGGAACGUGCCUUUAGGUUCGGAAUAACUCAGGGAAACUUGUGCUAAUACCGAAUGUGCCCUUCGGGGGAAAGAUUUAUCGCCUUUAGAGCGGCCCGCGUCUGAUUAGCUUGUUGGUGGGGUAAUGGCCCACCAAGGCUACGAUCAGUAGCUGGUCUGAGAGGAUGACCAGCCACAUUGGGACUGAGACACGGCCCAAACUCCUACGGGAGGCAGCAGUGGGGAAUCUUGCGCAAAUGGGCGAAAGCCUGACGCAAGCCAUGCCGCGUGUAUGAUGAAGGUCUUAGGAUUGUAAAAAUAACUUUCACCGGUGAAGAUAAUGACUGUAGCCGGAGAAGAG